This is an RNA transcript of Pogoniulus pusillus (Red-fronted tinkerbird), 5601 nucleotides long. It is a transcript of the gene named protein disulfide-isomerase TMX3-like, with no coding region annotated. The transcript is spliced from 7 exons. The record is from RefSeq and is a predicted model, not a curated record. NCBI's taxonomy places the organism in Eukaryota, Metazoa, Chordata, Aves, Piciformes, Lybiidae.
CUUUGUGUGGAGUUUGUGCUCCUUCUGGCAGUCAGUUGCACAUGUUCUGAUGAGUAGAAGCAUGGAGUGGUUGCUGUUGGAGAAGAGCUUCCAAAUCAUCCAGGGCAGCCCUUAAGGCAGCACUGCCAGGUCACCCCUAAAGCAUGUCCCUGAGCAGCACAGCUGUAGGACUUUUUGCUCCCCCCACGGAUGGGGACUCCUGCACUGUGCUGGGCAGCCUGUUGCAGGGCCUCAGACCUCUUCUGGGAAGGAGACUGUUCCUCCUGUCCAACCUAAACCUUCCCUGGUGCAACCUGAGAUCAUUUCCUCUCAUGCUGUCAUUUGUUAGCUGGGAGAAGGGAUCAAGGCCAGCCUGGCUCCAGCCUCCAGAGAGAGGGCGUCCAGGACCUUCCUGGGCAAGCUGUGCCAGUGUCUCCCCAGCCUCUCUGUAAAGAAAUUCUUCCCAAUGUCCGUUCUGAGUCUCUCCUUUUCCAGAGUCAGUCCCUUCCUUUCUGACUUCCUUACCAGAGAAAGGCUACUUUUUUUUUCCCGUGGUGUGAGCAGGAAUCCAUGAAAGGUCUGGAGUGGGCUGCAGGGUUGUGUAGAGGUGCAGAGGAGGCUGUGGGUGUGUGUAGAGGUCUUAGGGGUGUGAAGAAUUUGCAGGGAUCUCUAAGGGUCUGCAGACCCCUUUGAAAGGUCUGAAGUUGUCUGUAGAUGUCUUUAGGGUGCUGCAGGGGUCUGCAGGCACCUCUUAAAUGUCUGGAGGGGUCUGUAGGUGUCUGUAGAGGUCUCUAGAGCUUUGUAGAGGAAUGUGGGUGCCUGCAGCUGUCUCUAGGGAGGUGUGGAGGUCUGCAGGCACCUUUCAAAUGUCUGGAGGGGUCUGCAGAGCUCUGGCAGGGUCUGUAGAUUUUGGCAGGGUUCUGUAGGAGUCUCUGGGCAGCUUUUAAAGGUGUGGAGGGGUCUGCAGGUGCCUGUUGAGCUUUGUCCAUGUCUGUGGUGGUGUGUAGGUGAGUGUGGGUGUCUGCAGAGGUGUGAAGGGGUCUGUAGCUAUUUGUCAGGGUCUGAAAGAGUCUGCAGAGGUGUGUAGAGUUGAGUAGGUGUUUGGAGGUUUCUGUGUGGGUCUGUAGGUGCCUGCAGGCAUCAUUAAAGGCUCUGGAGGGGUCUGUAGAUGUGUGCAGGGGUCUGUUAAAUAUCUGGAGGGAUCUGGAUGGGUCUGGGGAGCUCUGCAGGGGUCCGUAGAUGCCUGUAGGGAUUUGCAGGGCUCUGUUAGUUAUCUGUAGAGGUCUGCCUGGGUCUGGAGGUGCCUUUUAAUGGGUCUGUGGAGGUCUGGAGGGUUCUGCAGUGGGCUGCAGUGGUCUGUUAAAGGUGUGGAGGGGUCUGUAGGUGUCUGCAUUCAGUGAAGGAGUUCUUUGGCUCCAGGACACUCUUGUCCAGUGUCUCUAAACCGUGACUGUCCCAAAUGAGAUAGAGGUGCACUGGCAGCGUGUUUGCAGAUGGCCCCAAGCUGAGUGGUGCUGGAGAGAAAGCAGAGGGGCAGGAUGGCAUCCAGGAAACACCUGGGCAGGCAGGGGUGCUGGGCCCAGGCAAAGCUUGUGAGGUUCCAGGAGAGCAAGGGCAGGGUGCUGCGUGUGGGCAGGAGGAAGCCUGCCUGUGCCUGCGGGCUGGGGGCAGAGGCGAUAAAGAGCAGCCCUGGGGGUGCUGGGGAGAAGCUGAGUGCGAGCACAUGGUGUGAGCUUGCAGGCCAGGAGGAGCCUGUCGGUGUCUGCAGGGGUGUGGAAGCAGCUGUAGGCAUCUGCCCAGGUCUGUAGAUGUCUGCAGGGGUCUUCUAAAAGGCCUGGAGGCUUUUCUGAGUGCGCAGAGGUGUGCGGGGUCUGGAGGCAUCUGUAGGUACCCUUAGGGGCCUGGAGGGCUCUCUGGAAGUCUGUGGAGCUCUCUGGGUGUCUGUGGAGGAGGUGGUUAGGGGUCUGUAGAGGUGUCUGUGGUGCUGUAGGUGUCUCAAAAGGCUGUGAAGGUCUCGAGGUGUCUGUAGGGGUCUGCAGGGUUCUCUGGCAGUCUGUAGAGGUCUGUGGGGGUCUCUAGGGGCCUCUUAAAGACAUGCAGGGGUCUGCAGGGCUCUAUGGAAAGGUCGGGAGGGGUCCCUAGAGGUCUCUAGGAGGCUGGAGGGGUGUGCAAGUGUCUGUAGCAUUCAGCAGGUGUGUGGAGGUUUCUGUUCUGGGCCCGCAGGUGUCUGCAGGCAUCUUGUAAAGGUCUGCAGGGGUCUGUGGAGCUCUGUCAGGCAUCUGUUAAGUGUCUGCAGGAAUCCGUUAAAGGUCUGGAGGGGGCUGCAGGGCUCUGCAGAGGAGGCUGUGGGUGUGUGUAGAGGUCUUAGGGGUGUGAAGAGUUUGCAGGGGUCUGUAAGGGUCUGCAGACCCCUUGGAAAGGUCUGAAGUUGUCUGUAGGAGUCUGGAGAUGUCUCUAGGGCACUGCAGGGGUCUGCUGCUGCGGGAGGAGUGGGGUGGCGGAGCCACGCCCCCCGGGCUGCGGAGCCACGCCCCCUCCCUGGCCUUUCUUGCCUGGCUCUGGUUGCUGCCUCUUUCUUUGCAUAGCCACACCCCCUGUCCCCUUGCUGUCUAGUCCCCGCCCCUUCCUUUCUGAGCCACGCCCCCUUCCCUAUUCUGUGUCUGGUCCCUGCCCCUUUUUGUUAGCCACGCCCCCUCAGUGCAAUGCCUAUUCCCUCCCCUCCAUAGCCACGCCCUCUCCCCAUGCUGUGUCUAGUCCCCACCCCCUCCAUAGCCACGCCCUCUCCCCAUGCUGUGUCUAGUCCCCGCCCCCUCCAUAGCCACGCCCUCUCCCCAUGCUGUGUCUAGUCCCCGCCCCCUCCAUAGCCACGCCCUCUCCCCAUGCUGUGUCUAGUCCCUGCCCCCUCCAUAGCCACGCCCUCUCCCCAUGCUGUGUCUAGUCCCCACCCUUUCCGUAGCCACGCCCUCUCCCCCAUGUUGUGCCUGGGCCCGCCCCCUCGGCCCCACCCCCCAGUAACUAAUAAUAUGGUGACAGAUUUGGAGCUUCCUUUGGAGGAGGAGUUCAGGAGGUGGCUGCUGAUUGGUGGAUUGUGAUGGGCGAGGUUUGCCGCUUGUUCUGCCUCCCUCAUUUGCAUACAUUUCAAUAUCAGGCUCUGCCUUUGAGUACCUUGGAGAUGUGUUGGGGGUUGGGGAGGGGUUACUGGGAGGGUCAGCAGCUGAUUGGUGGAUCCUGUGGGGGCUGUGGGCAUGGUCACCCCUGUGCCCCACCCCCUCAUUUGCAUAAAUGAAGGCAGGGUCCACCUGGCGGAGUUUGGUGCUUUAUUGGGGGGGGAAACUGGUUAGGACGUGGAGGGUCAGCAGCUGAUUGGUGCGUCCUCUGGCGUGGGCGGGGCCUGCCCCUGCCCCGCCCCUCCGAAGCGAUCGAUGGUCUCCAGCACAGCCCCAGCUGCUCCAGGAAGGAGGAGACCUCCCCCCGCAGGCCUCCAGCCCCCCGGGAGGCCCAGAGCUUGCGGGGGGAGGGCUCAGGGGCCCCCAGACCCUCCUAGGGACCCCUCAGGGACCCUCAGACCCACCCAGGGACCCCCAGACCCUCCUAGGGACCACCCAGAGACCCGCAGACCCGCCCACUGGCCUCCCAGAGACCCCCACUCACCUCCUUGUAUGCCUCCACUAAUCCCCCAGCCCCUCCCCGCGCCCCCCAGUGCCCACUCAGGCCCUCAGCUUGUCCCCGCAGCACUGCAACCUGGCCUGGAGGCGUUGCUGAGGCCUCCCCCGGGGCCGGGCUGGGGGCUGCAGGCCUGGGCCCAGCGCCCUCAGUGCCACCUGUGCCAGGCCAGCAGGCAGCGGCAGCAACACCUCCCUGGCAGGGCAGGUCAAGGAGCCUCGGGGGAGGGACCCCAGCACCCCCCAGCGUCCCCCCAGUCCCCUCCCACUGCUCCCAGUCCCCCCCAGGCACUCCUGGGACUCUCUACGGCACCCACAGACCCUUCCCCUCCCCCCCAGCCACCUCUAACCCCCUACAAAACCUCACCCGGGGACCCCCAUGACACCCCCAGACCCUCCCUCUGCUCCACUGCCCCCUCCCCCCAGCCACCUCGGACCCUUCCCAAGGCGCCCCCAAACCCCCCCGACCCUCCCCCUACCCCCUUCAGCCACUUCGGACCCCCCCCAAAUCCCCCUGCGACCCCCCCCAAGUGCCCCUGGCAACCACUGACUCAUCCCCAGACCCUCCCCCCACUGCUCGCUCCCCCCAGCCACCUCAUUCCCCACCCCGGGACUCCUCAAACCCCCUUGGGGCCCCCCCGAAGCGCCUCUGGGACUCUCCAAAACCCCCCAGCCCCUUCCCCCGCCCCCCCCGAGCCCUCUCGGACCCCUCCCGGGACCCCCCAACUCCGCCUAAGACCCCCCCGGGGCUGGGUACAGCCCCAGCAGCUCGCCCCGCGCCGCCAUCUUGCCUCCGUGCAGUCAUUUCCGGCUGGCAGGCGACGCUCUGGGCCGCUCCUCUCGCUGGUCAAAGCCGCUCUAGGCCUCCGAGGUCCUCCAGGCGCCACUGCGAGCGGCUCUGGGCCAAAGCAAUGACUGUGCUCAGCUGCAGGGAUGGAUUUGCCUGCACUCAAGCUGCUGCUGCCAGAGCCCCUCCGUGUCAAUCUGUGCUGCUGUUGGGUUCUGCAGCUCUCUCCAGCAAGCAUGGAAUGAGCUGAAGGAGCAGCAGGAGCAGCAUGGCCAUUCCCCAGGCAGCAGGAUGUUUCAGCCCUGCACCAGCUCAUGCGGGAGGAGCAGGUGCUGAGGAACAUCCCCCACGAGACGCAGGUGGCCAAAGAGGCUGGGUCAGGAGAGUCACAUUUCAUUCUUGAUGCUUUCUUUAAGAGAGGCAUACAACUGAGCUCCCUCAGAGAAGCAGCAUGAAGUGCAUGAAGGAUGCUGGCUGCACUCAGUACAGACAAGGCACAUUGGACUGCCAAAAAGGAGACCUUCUUCACCUGCUUCUCCUGUGCAAGCUCUUCUGUCUGUCUGCUGAGAUGUUUCUGCCUGUUUAUCUGGCAGAGAAGUGUUUGCUUUUUUGGCUGGCGAGCUGACCAUCCGUACUACCGUCGUCUUGAAUGCCUCCAACCAUCAGUAUUUGCUGCCAGACAGACGCCUUGAGAAGACAGAGGACAUGCUGCGGUGGCUCCGAUUGUUACGCCGUGUGAUUUAUCUUCCUGUCCUGGCUGUCUUCCCGUGCUGGGUGCUGGCAGUGAAUACGUGGUGAGGAGUUCUUGGGGUGUGCCAUCCUUUGCUGUUCUCACUGUGGGAACUCCAAGAACCAUGGAAUGGGCACAGGCUGGUGAUGGACUUCUGCAGCGAAGCAAGAGAGUCAUCUAUGAAGCCAAGGCUGCUGUAAUGAAAGCAGAAGUCAGCCACCUGCCACCCAUCCCCUCCUGACCCCAACCCCAGAAACCCAAAGCAGCACUUGGCACAGGAGGUCUCUCGUGUUGCAGUCUCAACUUCAAGCCCUGGAAUACUUUGCUUCAGCCAGCAGCAUGGGGUUGGAUACCAACAGCAGAGUCGACUUAACCUGUGACUAAGUGAACUUUAAGUUUUCUGACUCCACAGUGGAACUUGAUAAAGAAAGAUGUGAAUGGAA